GGGGGGUGUUCUUCUGCUUUAGGGCAGCGGAGUCUGUUUGUGUCGCUCGGGUGGCGCUCCCGGGGCCCCCCCUCGUCCUCGCAGCGCGGGGAAAGGGUGGUGGCUGGUCCUGUGCUCGGGUGGAUGACCAGAGGUGUCUCUGCACGCCCCAGUGGCUGCCUCUCCCGAGGGUAGCACCAGCUCGGAACUGCCUCUCUUGGUCCUAUGGGUGCAACUGCGUUCUUCCAGUGGAAUAGCUCCUGUGGCUGUGCAGGAGAGGGGAAGAAGCUCUAGAUCUGAUUUUAGUGUUUGAUGCUGAAGUUAGGAAGCGAGUGGGAGAGUAUUUUUUGCCAUGUUAUACUCAGUGGAGUCAGGCUGGCAUUGGGUGGGUGGCCCAGCACUAGUGUUGAGGUUUUGGUAUUAGCUCUGCAACACCUUUAGCUGCUUUGGGGGUGGAAGUGCAAGAAAAAGGGAGUUUUAAGCCCAGCUGGAAAUUUCUGACAAGCAAACCCAGUUGAGCAUUCCAGGCAGGAACCUAAGUGAAAAAUACUUUAUACUUUUUAUACUUUUUUUUUUUUAUGCUAAUUAUUUUUUCCAAAUUAUUACUGUAUAGUGGAAAGUGAAUAGGACAUUUCAAAAGUUAAACUUCUCAUUUACAGUGCCUUUUUGCUGGAUGCAUGUGUGUCUGGAAGAACCGACUGCUCAAUGACCUAUCACAGAUUUCAAACUCGGAUUCCUAUCAACUAAACCAGAAGACUUCAGGAGUCUUAGUAGGAUUAGCUUUGUCUGAGAAACCAUAAUGUCAUAUAUAGCUCUGCAUUCUGUUUUCUUGAAAUUAUUUUUUCUGACACUUUGGCUUAUCAGAUGUGAAGCUUUUUUUUUGGGGGGGGGUGUGGAUUGUUUGGUUUUGUUUUUUUGUUUGUUUGUUUAUUUUUCAAAAUGUUUGGAAGUGCAUGUAAAUGUAAAUGCUACAAAUACUAUUUUAAUUUAGUCUGCCGUAUAGCCAAAUACAAGGCAUCACUGUGAACUAGUCACUUUCACUGUCACACUUCUCACACUAAAUUGUGGAUACCUGAAAUUGAGGAUGCAUUUUUCUGUUUUGUUUUAGGUUUUUGGUAAUCUUUUUCUCAACAACAAUAAUAUCUGGAAGCCACUUGAGACUUCUACUUAAGGCAUUGUAAAACUAAGUAAUAUGGCUAAUGUACAAAAUAAAAUGGUUUGGGGUUGUUUUAAAUGAUGAA
This 1220-nucleotide long non-coding RNA is filed under the name Strigops habroptila (Kakapo). RNAcentral's name for it is "lncRNA (ENSSHBG00005021321.1)". Lineage: Eukaryota; Metazoa; Chordata; Aves; Psittaciformes; Psittacidae. The record is from RNAcentral.